AAUGGAAGGUAAUCGCUGGGAAACUAGAGGAAAGUCCAUGCUAGUACUUGCUGUGAUGCAAGUAGUGAUUAUGUUUGAGGAAACAAUAACUCAAAGCACCAUAAGGUGACGGCGGGAGAAAUCCUAUAAAGUGCCACAGAGACGAGUCGUUUAACGAGUGAAACGGGUAAACCCCAUAAACUAGCAACCCAAAUUUUGGUAGGGGCACGCUUUAAGACUAAUUAAGAAGUUAAAAAGCGCUACAAUUUGUAGAGAUUAAUGAUUACAUUAUACAGAACAUGGCUUAUGCAC
Molecule: RNase P RNA, 291 nt
Filed under: Acholeplasmataceae bacterium
Lineage: Bacteria; Bacillati; Mycoplasmatota; Mollicutes; Acholeplasmatales; Acholeplasmataceae
Description: RNase P RNA component class B
Rfam family: Bacterial RNase P class B
About the family: Ribonuclease P (RNase P) is a ubiquitous endoribonuclease, found in archaea, bacteria and eukarya as well as chloroplasts and mitochondria. Its best characterised activity is the generation of mature 5'-ends of tRNAs by cleaving the 5'-leader elements of precursor-tRNAs.
Source: RNAcentral